This is a long non-coding RNA of Tachysurus vachellii, 405 nucleotides long. RefSeq lists it as uncharacterized. Lineage: Eukaryota; Metazoa; Chordata; Actinopteri; Siluriformes; Bagridae. The record is from RefSeq and is a predicted model, not a curated record. The transcript is spliced from 3 exons.
AUGAAAUUGACAUUCGACUUUCGCCACAACAUGGUUCUUGACCCCAUGCAGUCAAGUGAUAUAUUGACAGUCUUUCCACGAUUCAAAGACAUUAAAGGCUUGAUUGAGCAAGACUUUGUUCUGAUGUUUGGAGAAGGAGUGUCAGGCAAGCUACUGGAGAAGUGGACCACUGCAUUCAAAAGAAAAGUGAUUCAGCAGUGCAAAAUCUUCCAAGCACCAGUGAUUUGGAAGAACUACUGCUAGCAGCUGAAUCUCCUACUGGUGACUCAGAAGAGGUUGUUAAUUUUGGUUGGGACAGUGACCUCUCUUCUAUAAUACAUCUGUUGCAUCUGAUCCCACCUUCUGCCCAAGGCCAGAAAAGACCAGGAAAGGUGUCUGCCUCUCAAGCAGAGAAGCACCUUGUUG